AUGCGGGCGCCCGUGACGCCGGCGGGCUCCGUCUCCACCGGAGAGACACCGCUUCAGCGGCCACCCGUCGUCAUCUCCUCGGCACCAUCCGCCGCAACGACAACGAGGAGGCGGCUGCUCGUGUCCGCCGGUGGCCUGCUCCUCGUCGCCGCCGCGGGCAACAGCGACGCCAGCAGGGGAGCGGCGGCGGCCGCGGUCGACCUCGGCUACGACCCGGUGACGGAGGCGGAGCGCGCGGCGAGCGCGGCCGUGUCGCAGCGCGUCGGGGAGGCCGUCCGGCUGCUGGAGGCCGGGCGGGAGCUGCAGGCGCGCGGCGAGUUCGCGGGGGCGCUGGCGUCCUUCACGGCGGUGGUGAGCGGGUACAAGGAGCUGGCGCUGUCGGAGUACGCGCGGGUGGGGCGGGCGCUGGUGCUGUACGAGAUCGGCGACCGCGACGAGUCCAUCACGGAGAUGGAGGACGUGUCGGUGGCGCUCAAGGGGUACCCGGAGAUCCACGCCGCGCUGGCGGCGGCGCUGUACGCCGACAAGCACGCGCCGCUGCUGGCCGAGUUCCAGUUCAACAUCGCCACGCUGCUGGACCCGCACUACUCCGACCUCGCCUACGUCAGGGACACCAAGCACUGGCCGCCCAGCCUCGUCGCCUCCCUCAAGAACUUCAUUACACUCACCUAG
RNAcentral lists this ribosomal RNA (672 nucleotides) under Triticum aestivum (bread wheat). RNAcentral's name for it is "partial small subunit ribosomal RNA". Lineage: Eukaryota; Viridiplantae; Streptophyta; Magnoliopsida; Poales; Poaceae. The record is from RNAcentral.